CUGGCGGCGUGCUUAACACAUGCAAGUCGAGCGAUGAAGCUCUUCGGAAGUGGAUUAGCGGCGGACGGGUGAGUAACACGUGGGUAACCUGCCUCGUAGAGGGGAAUAGCCUUCCGAAAGGAAGAUUAAUACCGCAUAAGAUUGUAAUAUCGCAUGAUAUAGCAAUUAAAGGAGUAAUCCGCUAUGAGAUGGACCCGCGUCGCAUUAGCUAGUUGGUGAGGUAACGGCUCACCAAGGCGACGAUGCGUAGCCGACCUGAGAGGGUGAUCGGCCACAUUGGGACUGAGACACGGCCCAGACUCCUACGGGAGGCAGCAGUGGGGAAUAUUGCACAAUGGGGGAAACCCUGAUGCAGCAACGCCGCGUGAGUGAUGACGGUCUUCGGAUUGUAAAGCUCUGUCUUUAGGGACGAUAAUGACGGUACCUAAGGAGGAAGCCACGGCUAACUACGUGCCAGCCGCCGC
This 464-nucleotide ribosomal RNA is filed under the name uncultured bacterium. RNAcentral's name for it is "bacterial SSU rRNA". It matches the Rfam family "Bacterial small subunit ribosomal RNA", at positions 36 to 518 of the family's 1533-position model. The record is from RNAcentral.